This 440-nucleotide ribosomal RNA is filed under the name Exiguobacterium acetylicum. RNAcentral describes it as "bacterial SSU rRNA". It matches the Rfam family "Bacterial small subunit ribosomal RNA", at positions 65 to 492 of the family's 1533-position model. The record is from RNAcentral. Lineage: Bacteria; Bacillati; Bacillota; Bacilli; Caryophanales.
UGCGGACUCUUCGGAGGGAAGGCAGUGGAUGAGCGGCGGACGGGUGAGUACACGUAAGGAACCUGCCUCAAGGAUUGGGAUAACUCCGAGAAAUCGGAGCUAAUACCGGAUAGUUCAACGGACCGCAUGGUCCGCUGAUGAAAGGCGCUUCGGCGUCACCUUGAGAUGGCCUUGCGGUGCAUUAGCUAGUUGGUGGGGUAACGGCUCACCAAGGCGACGAUGCAUAGCCGACCUGAGAGGGUGAUCGGCCACACUGGGACUGAGACACGGCCCAGACUCCUACGGGAGGCAGCAGUAGGGAAUCUUCCACAAUGGACGAAAGUCUGAUGGAGCAACGCCGCGUGAGUGAUGAAGGUUUUCGGAUCGUAAAACUCUGUUGUAAGGGAAGAACACGUACGAGAGGUAAUGCUCGUACCUUGACGGUACCUUACGAGAAAGCC